GACGAACGCUGGCGGCGUGCCUAAUACAUGCAAGUUGAGCGCUGAAGGUUGGUACUUGUACCAACUGGAUGAGCAGCGAACGGGUGAGUAACGCGUGGGGAAUCUGCCUUUGAGCGGGGGACAACAUUUGGGAACGAAUGCUAAUACCGCAUAAAAACUUUAAACACAAGUUUUAAGUUUGAAAGAUGCAAUUGCAUCACUCAAAGAUGAUCCCGCGUUGUAUUAGCUAGUUGGUGAGGUAAAGGCUCACCAAGGCGAUGAUACAUAGCCGACCUGAGAGGGUGAUCGGCCACAUUGGGACUGAGACACGGCCCAAACUCCUACGGGAGGCAGCAGUAGGGAAGCUUCGGCAAUGGACGAAAGUCUGACCGAGCAACGCCGCGUGAGUGAAGAAGGUUUUCGGAUCGUAAAACUCUGUUGGUAGAGAAGAACGUUGGUGAGAGUGGAAAGCUCAUCAAGUGACGGUAACUACCCAGAAAGGGACGGCUAACUACGUG
Molecule: ribosomal RNA, 497 nt
Filed under: uncultured bacterium
Lineage: Bacteria
Description: partial 16S ribosomal RNA
Rfam family: Bacterial small subunit ribosomal RNA
Source: RNAcentral